CCAAUAGCGUAUAUUAAAGUUGUUGCAGUUAAAAAGCUCGUAGUUGAAUUUCGGGAUCAAUAUUUCGGUCAUGCCGUUGGUAUGCACUGUUAUAAUUGAUUUCUCACCUUCUAAAGAACCGUAAUGCCAUUAAUUUGGUGUCACGGGGAAUUAGGACUGUUACCUUGAAAAAAUUAGAGUGUUUAAAGCAGGCUCACGCUUGAAUACAUUAGCAUGGAAUAAUGAAAUAGGACAUCCGAUUCUAUUUUGUUGGUUUCUAGGAUCGAUGUAAUGAUUAAUAGGGAUAGUUGGGGGCAUUAGUAUUCAAUUGUCAGAGGUGAAAUUCUUGGAUUUAUUGAAGACUAACUACUGCGAAAGCAUUUGCCAAGGAUGUUUUCAUUAAUCAAGAACGAAAGUUAGGGGAUCGAAGACGAUCAGAUACCGUCGUAGUCUUAACCAUAAACUAUGCCGACUAGGGAUCGGAUGAUGUUAAUUUUUUAAUGACUCAUUCGGCGCCUUACG
This 501-nucleotide ribosomal RNA is filed under the name uncultured Glomeromycotina. RNAcentral describes it as "partial small subunit ribosomal RNA". It matches the Rfam family "Eukaryotic small subunit ribosomal RNA", at positions 591 to 1092 of the family's 1831-position model. The record is from RNAcentral. Lineage: Eukaryota; Fungi; Glomeromycota.